Molecule: ribosomal RNA, 439 nt
Filed under: uncultured bacterium
Lineage: Bacteria
Description: partial 16S ribosomal RNA
Rfam family: Bacterial small subunit ribosomal RNA
Source: RNAcentral
CUACGGGGUGCUGCAGUGGGGGAUAUUGCACAAUGGGGGAAACCCUGAUGCAGCAACGCCGCGUGAAGGAAGACGGUUUUCGGAUUGUAAACUUCUAUCAGCAGGGAAGAAAAUGACGGUACCUGACUAAGAAGCCCCGGCUAACUACGUGCCAGCAGCCGCGGUAAUACGUAGGGGGCAAGCGUUAUCCGGAAUUACUGGGUGUAAAGGGUACGUAGGCGGCUGAUCAAGUCAGAUGUGAAAGCCCGGAGCUCAACUCCGGGACUGCAUUUGAAACUGGUCGGCUAGAGUGCAGGAGAGGAAAGUGGAAUUCCUAGUGUAGCGGUGAAAUGCGUAGAUAUUAGGAAGAACACCAGUGGCGAAGGCGGCUUUCUGGACUGUAACUGACGCUGAGGUACGAAAGCGUGGGGAGCGAACAGGAUUAGAUACCCUUGUAGUC